Molecule: ribosomal RNA, 410 nt
Filed under: Fusobacteriota bacterium
Lineage: Bacteria; Fusobacteriati; Fusobacteriota
Description: Fusobacteria bacterium partial 16S ribosomal RNA
Rfam family: Bacterial small subunit ribosomal RNA
Source: RNAcentral
UGGGGAAUAUUGCACAAUGGGCGGAAGCCUGAUGCAGCGACGCCGCGUGGGGGAUGACGGCCUUCGGGUUGUAAACUCCUUUCACCAUCGACGAAGGGUUUCUGACGGUAGAUGGAGAAGAAGCACCGGCUAACUACGUGCCAGCAGCCGCGGUAAUACGUAGGGUGCGAGCGUUGUCCGGAAUUACUGGGCGUAAAGAGCUCGUAGGUGGUUUGUCGCGUCGUCUGUGAAAUUCCGGGGCUUAACUCCGGGCGUGCAGGCGAUACGGGCAUAACUUGAGUACUGUAGGGGAGACUGGAAUUCCUGGGGUAGCGGUGAAAUGCGCAGAUAUCAGGAGGAACACCGGUGGCGAAGGCGGGUCUCUGGGCAGUAACUGACGCUGAGGAGCGAAAGCAUGGGGAGCGAACAGG